GAUUACUGACAAAUAAGAGACUUUAUAAAUUCAAGAAUUGACAUUUGGUUUCUGAGUUCUAGACCAUAAAUAUGGGUGUUACUAUUGAAGUUUAUCGCGCCAGGAUUGGUUCACAUCACAAUUUUACAGAUUGUCGCAACAGUCUGUGUCGUCUUAAAGACUUUCAAAUGAUGUGGAGGAAAAUCCAGGUCCUAGGACUAUAAAUGAUAUAGUUGACCCUGCUUGUACAAUCCAUGCUGAUUUUAAUCAAGGUAAUGAGCUAAUGUUUGGUGUGAAUGCUGGUAAACAGUGUGUAGCUAUGUCAUUAUAUGCAAUUGUUUACAAUGAAAUUAAAUCUGUCAAUAUUUGGGACAAGUCAAUUCUAAACUCAAUUUUAGUAAGUGGAAACAGUUUGUAUUGUGUUAUCAGCCAAAGUAUAAAUAAGAGUUAUUU
This 432-nucleotide unclassified non-coding RNA is filed under the name Dendronephthya gigantea. RNAcentral's name for it is "uncharacterized LOC114542632, transcript variant X2". The record is from RNAcentral. Lineage: Eukaryota; Metazoa; Cnidaria; Anthozoa; Malacalcyonacea; Nephtheidae.